RNAcentral lists this ribosomal RNA (460 nucleotides) under uncultured bacterium. Its description in RNAcentral is "partial 16S ribosomal RNA". It matches the Rfam family "Bacterial small subunit ribosomal RNA", at positions 338 to 795 of the family's 1533-position model. The record is from RNAcentral.
CCUACGGGUGGCAGCAGUGAGGAAUAUUGGUCAAUGGACGAGAGUCUGAACCAGCCAAGUAGCGUGAAGGAUGACUGCCCUAUGGGUUGUAAACUUCUUUUAUAUGGGAAUAAAAUGUUCCACGUGUGGGAUUUUGUAUGUACCAUAUGAAUAAGGAUCGGCUAACUCCGUGCCAGCAGCCGCGGUAAUACGGAGGAUCUGAGCGUUAUCCGGAUUUAUUGGGUUUAAAGGGAGCGUAGGUGGAUUGUUAAGUCAGUUGUGAAAGUUUGCGGCUCAACCGUAAAAUUGCAGUUGAAACUGGCAGUCUUGAGUACAGUAGAGGUGGGCGGAAUUCGUGGUGUAGCGGUGAAAUGCUUAGAUAUCACGAAGAACUCCGAUUGCGAAGGCAGUUCACUGGACUGCAACUGACACUGAGGCUCGAAAGUGUGGGUAUCAAACAGGAUUAGAUACCCGAGUAGUC